UACAGAGGUCUCGAGCGUUAGGCGGAAUCACUGGGCUUAAAGCGUGUGUAGGUGGAUCGUUAAGUACCUUGUGAAAUCCCACGGCUUAACCGUGGAACUGCUUGGUAUACUGGCGGUCUUGAGCCAGCUAGGGGCUACCGGAACAAAUGGUGGAGCGGUGAAAUGCGUAGAUAUCGGGAGGAACACCAGUGGCGAAGGCGAUCACCUGGGGUUGUUCUGACGCUGAGGAGCGAAAGCUAGGGGAGCAAACGGG
This 253-nucleotide ribosomal RNA is filed under the name uncultured bacterium. Its description in RNAcentral is "partial 16S ribosomal RNA". It matches the Rfam family "Bacterial small subunit ribosomal RNA", at positions 524 to 776 of the family's 1533-position model. The record is from RNAcentral.